Vicia faba (fava bean) is the source of this 261-nucleotide non-coding RNA. NCBI's taxonomy places the organism in Eukaryota, Viridiplantae, Streptophyta, Magnoliopsida, Fabales, Fabaceae. The record is from the annotation of a GenBank genome assembly.
UGUAAGCCACUAACUUCUAAUAAUGCACCUUUAUUCCAAAAAGAUGUAUCAGACUCAAAAAAACCAAGUAACAAACUCCAUAAACCAGGUUUGGAGUUUUACAUUCAGUUUCCUUCAAAAUCAAAUAAAAAGACAGAAAACAAAAAACAAAACAAAAAACUAACAAGCAGAUCACUUAUGUCUCAUAGAUCCACACACUUGCAAACAAAUAUUGAAUACCAUCAUAACAUCAAAAGCAUGAGAGAUAUCAGAAACAUGUAG